UGGGGAAUAUUGGACAAUGGGGGAAACCCUGAUCCAGCAACGCCGCGUGAGUGAUGAAGGUCUUCGGAUUGUAAAGCUCUUUUGGCAGGGACGAUGAUGACGGUACCUGCAGAAUAAGCUCCGGCUAACUUCGUGCCAGCAGCCGCGGUAAUACGAAGGGAGCAAGCGUUGUUCGGAUUUACUGGGCGUAAAGGGUGCGUAGGCGGUUUGAUAAGUUGGAUGUGAAAGCCCUGGGCUUAACCCGGGAACUGCAUUCAAAACUAUCUCACUCGAGUAUGGAAGAGGUUGGUGGAAUUCCAAGUGUAGAGGUGAAAUUCGUAGAUAUUUGGAAGAACACCCGUGGCGAAGGCGGCCAACUGGUCCAUAACUGACGCUGAGGCACGAAAGCGUGGGGAGCAAA
RNAcentral lists this ribosomal RNA (400 nucleotides) under uncultured bacterium. RNAcentral's name for it is "bacterial SSU rRNA". It matches the Rfam family "Bacterial small subunit ribosomal RNA", at positions 355 to 772 of the family's 1533-position model. The record is from RNAcentral.